Non-coding RNA from Trichobilharzia regenti, 49 nucleotides. Lineage: Eukaryota; Metazoa; Platyhelminthes; Trematoda; Strigeidida; Schistosomatidae. The record is from Rfam.
GUACUGAUGAAGAGUCCCAAACUAGGAUGAAACAGCAGCUGUCCAGUAC